CGCCUCCCGCUCCCUCAGCGGCCCCGCGGGCUCCUGCCGCGCCGCCUCACUGCACUACGGCGCCGGGACCCUGCCAGAUACUUCAUUCCAGUGAAAACCGACAAAAAUCUGAGCAGAGCUCCCAUCUAACACCGUUAGGGAGCUGAAAGGAGGGGGUGUCCUGGGACAGAUGCUCUCAUGGGAAGCACCCACUGCACGGCAGCCCCCCGAAGAUCCCAGCCCCGAGGGAAGGCACAGGGAGCAAAAAUGGGCAGCGACCAGGGGCCUGUCUGCGCUUCAGGCCUCCCAGAACAUGAGAAUUCAUCGUUCUACUCACCAGUGACCGAAUGUGGCUCCGGUUGCCAAAGCCACUCUCUCAUUGAGGUGGACAGGGAAACCGCCUGCGCGCACCGUCUGGAGCCCAGCAGCAGGUAAGGAGGCACCGACGUGUCAGGACAGCAAUCUGUGUGCGGGCUGCCCGACCCCCAGCUGCCAGCGAGAUAAAGGCGGCAGGGGCCUCCCGUGUCGGGUGGGAAUGGUUCAGCUGAGGACACACAGCCAUGCCAAGGGAGCAGCUGCCAGGGAAGGUCACUGGCCUCGCAGCGAGCUGGCAGCUCUUGGGCAGCACGUGUGCUCUGGUGGGCCAGAGCGACUGCAGCGGGCAGGGAAAGCAGUGGGUACCUGAGACGGGGCGGGACGGACCCUCUUUCUGGCCGGGAGUGUGUGCACACCUGCUAUCGCGGCCGCCAAGGCACCAGCCAAGGGCUGCCCACCACCCUGCGGGACCAGGGCACGGGGAGAGUCCUCCCGAGGACCAGCUGGAGCUGAUCCACCACAGCCGCGGCUGCUGUGGGGCACAAACCGCACGGUAGCGCCUUGCCGAGGUGCAGGCCUGGGCCUGCCGUGGACAAAGUGCCCCGAGGGCACCAAAGCCCCUACAGUAGAAAGGGUCGAGGCUCAAGGUCCGGCCGAGCCCGGGAGAGGGAGCCGGAGCCCCGCUGCAAGCCCGGCCG
Molecule: long non-coding RNA, 992 nt
Organism: Serinus canaria (Common canary)
Lineage: Eukaryota; Metazoa; Chordata; Aves; Passeriformes; Fringillidae
Exons: 3
Source: RefSeq, a predicted model, not a curated record